Molecule: transfer RNA, 76 nt
Filed under: Corynebacterium sp. 320
Lineage: Bacteria; Bacillati; Actinomycetota; Actinomycetes; Mycobacteriales; Corynebacteriaceae
Also listed under: 6 other names
Description: tRNA-Thr
Rfam family: tRNA
About the family: Transfer RNA (tRNA) molecules are approximately 80 nucleotides in length. Their secondary structure includes four short double-helical elements and three loops (D, anti-codon, and T loops).
Source: RNAcentral
GCUGAGGUGGCGCAAUUGGUAGCGCAACGCACUUGUAAUGCGUAGGUUGCGGGUUCAAGUCCCGUCCUCAGCUCCA